AAUGGAUCAAGUUGGCAAAUCAGGAAGGAGAGAAACAAGGUAGUUUUUUAUUCUUGUACGCCAAAUCCUCGCUCUACUUUGAUGAGAAUUAAUUGUGCAAUUCAAGAGCUGGACUCGGAGGGUGUGCAUCCAACUAGCAAUGGAUCAAGUCCAGCCAUGGCUCCCCAUCCAGUGAUCUGGUCUCGGCCUGCUUGGGGUUUUAUCAAGUUCAAUUGUGAUGUUGCAUGGUCUGAAUCCUCUCCCAUUUCUUCAGUUGUUGUUAUCGCAAUGAAUUUUUCAGGCAGGGUUGUUGAUGGUAGGGCAAAGAAAGACCGGUGCUCUUCCCCUUUGAGUGGGAAGCUACUGUUGUGCCGGAGGCAAUUCGAUUAGCAAAUGAUAUGGGAUGUUCUAAUUAGUUCUGGAAUCUGAUUCUCUGAUCCUCAUAAAUGCUUUAGGAUCAAAGCAGCACCAACGCUCCAUGGGAAAUUCGAGCUGUUGUUCAGGCUAUUCAAUCUUUCAUGAAGGGUGAUCUUUCCCAUGUUAGCUAACUUAGUAUGCAAAAUCAAUUGCCCUGUAAUUAGAUCUCUGCCACUCUUCUUCGGAUAGCUUGCUGUAAUGAUGCUCCAGGGGCUUGUAAUGCGGAUUUAUUUUGCAUCUUAAAAAAAAAAAGAAAAAAGAGUGAGAAAUG
This 667-nucleotide unclassified non-coding RNA is filed under the name Hevea brasiliensis (rubber tree). Lineage: Eukaryota; Viridiplantae; Streptophyta; Magnoliopsida; Malpighiales; Euphorbiaceae. The record is from RNAcentral.